Molecule: long non-coding RNA, 335 nt
Organism: Poecile atricapillus (Black-capped chickadee)
Lineage: Eukaryota; Metazoa; Chordata; Aves; Passeriformes; Paridae
Exons: 3
Source: RefSeq, a predicted model, not a curated record
GGGAGCUGUUCGUUUAUCUUCCACCGCUCCUCUUUGUGCCUUGCUGGCACCGACCCCAUAAGGAGGGAAAAGGGAGAAGCACAAAAGCAGCAGGUUGUUUAUCCUACUGAAUAAACUAAAUGCAGGUCUCUGAGGGAUCUUAUGCAAACCACUUACCUUGAAACACAACCCCACGGGAAAGUGAGCUACGGAGAGAGGCAUAGUUAAUGUUUUACAUCUUCAAAGCAGCAUCCAAGUGCCUGGCUCAGCACCAGCUACCAUCAGGUAUCAUGGAAGGCCUUCCAAAUACAUCCUCAAUGAGUUUUCCUAGGUCCCAGAAUAAAGCAGAGAAUGUG